This 497-nucleotide ribosomal RNA is filed under the name uncultured bacterium. RNAcentral describes it as "partial 16S ribosomal RNA". It matches the Rfam family "Bacterial small subunit ribosomal RNA", at positions 28 to 507 of the family's 1533-position model. The record is from RNAcentral.
GAUGAACGCUGGCGGCGUGCCUAAUGCAUGCAAGUCGAGCGAACAGACGAGGAGCUUGCUCCUCUGACGUUAGCGGCGGACGGGUGAGUAACACGUGGAUAACCUACCUAUAAGACUGGGAUAACUUCGGGAAACCGGAGCUAAUACCGGAUAAUAUAUUGAACCGCAUGGUUCAAUAGUGAAAGACGGUUUUGCCGUCACUUAUAGAUGGAUCCGCGCCGCAUUAGCUAGUUGGUAAGGUAACGGCUUACCAAGGCAACGAUGCGUAGCCGACCUGAGAGGGUGAUCGGCCACACUGGAACUGAGACACGGUCCAGACUCCUACGGGAGGCAGCAGUAGGGAAUCUUCCGCAAUGGGCGAAAGCCUGACGGAGCAACGCCGCGUGAGUGAUGAAGGUCUUCGGAUCGUAAAACUCUGUUAUUAGGGAAGAACAAAUGUGUAAGUAACUAUGCACGUCUUGACGGUACCUAAUCAGAAAGCCACGGCUAACUACGUG